Molecule: long non-coding RNA, 326 nt
Organism: Mauremys reevesii (Reeves's turtle)
Lineage: Eukaryota; Metazoa; Chordata; Testudines; Geoemydidae
Exons: 2
Source: RefSeq, a predicted model, not a curated record
GCGGCCGCUCCUCCCUUCCUGCUGCUCCUGGUGUCGCCGCCGUCUCAAGGGGAACCCUAGCCUCAGGGAGCAGGGAGGUGGCCGGAGCACACACGUGCAAGUACCGAGGCAACGCUGGGUCCCAAAUCACUUCCGGUUCCGAAUCUUUAGGAUGUACUUGGGUUGUGUUUUCAAGCUAUUCUCUGCAACACCGGCCCUAGAAAUAUACUUUAAAAACAAAGCGGAAGCAUAGAUUCUCAUGCAUUCACAUGACUCCAGGAGCUGGGGCUUCAAGAAAACACCAAAUAUCAUGUGACUUGUAAUAAAAAUCACAAACAUUGACAACA